AUUGAACGCUGGCGGCAGGCCUAACACAUGCAAGUCGAACGGUAGCACAGAGGAGCUUGCUCCUUGGGUGACGAGUGGCGGACGGGUGAGUAAUGUCUGGGAAACUGCCCGAUGGAGGGGGAUAACUACUGGAAACGGUAGCUAAUACCGCAUCACGUCUUCGGACCAAAGUGGUGGACCUUCGGGCCUCACACCAUCGGAUGUGCCCAGAUGGGAUUAGCUAGUAGGUGGGGUAAUGGCUCACCUAGGCGACGAUCCCUAGCUGGUCUGAGAGGAUGACCAGCCACACUGGAACUGAGACACGGUCCAGACUCCUACGGGAGGCAGCAGUGGGGAAUAUUGCACAAUGGGCGCAAGCCUGAUGCAGCCAUGCCGCGUGUAUGAAGAAGGCCUUCGGGUUGUAAAGUACUUUCAGCGGGGAGGAAGGCGUUAAGGUUAAUAACCUUGGCGAUUGACGUUACCCGCAGAAGAAGCACCGGCUAACUCCGUGCCAGCCGCCGCAGUAA
This 506-nucleotide ribosomal RNA is filed under the name uncultured bacterium. RNAcentral describes it as "partial 16S ribosomal RNA". It matches the Rfam family "Bacterial small subunit ribosomal RNA", at positions 30 to 523 of the family's 1533-position model. The record is from RNAcentral.